RNAcentral lists this microRNA precursor (103 nucleotides) under Marmota monax (woodchuck). Lineage: Eukaryota; Metazoa; Chordata; Mammalia; Rodentia; Sciuridae. The record is from RNAcentral.
AGUGGGAUAGCUAGGUUAAAUGGUUGUUCCAUUCCCAGUUUUUCAAGCAAUCUUCGAACUGCUUUCCAUAUUGGCUGCACCAAUUUGCAGUCCCAUCAGCAAU